RNAcentral lists this ribosomal RNA (449 nucleotides) under uncultured bacterium. Its description in RNAcentral is "bacterial SSU rRNA". It matches the Rfam family "Bacterial small subunit ribosomal RNA", at positions 28 to 490 of the family's 1533-position model. The record is from RNAcentral.
GACGAACGCUGGCGGCGCGCCUAACACAUGCAAGUCGAACGAGCGAGAGAGAGCUUGCUUUCUCGAGCGAGUGGCGAACGGGUGAGUAACGCGUGAGGAACCUGCCUCAAAGAGGGGGACAACAGUUGGAAACGACUGCUAAUACCGCAUAAGCCCACGGGUCGGCAUCGACCAGAGGGAAAAGGAGCAAUCCGCUUUGAGAUGGCCUCGCGUCCGAUUAGCUAGUUGGUGAGGUAAUGGCCCACCAAGGCGACGAUCGGUAGCCGGACUGAGAGGUUGAACGGCCACAUUGGGACUGAGACACGGCCCAGACUCCUACGGGAGGCAGCAGUGGGGAAUAUUGCACAAUGGGGGAAACCCUGAUGCAGCGACGCCGCGUGGAGGAAGAAGGUCUUCGGAUUGUAAACUCCUGUUGUUGGGGAAGAUAAUGACGGUACCCAACAAGGAAG